CGUUUCCUGCCCUGUGCGUGCUAUCCGUGUUUAUAAACCCACGGAUAAGAAACGGAGUCUUUAUUUCCCUGAGGAUUGCAGGCCUCCCGCGUGUUUUCUGCGCGCGGACGUUGGAAGCGAGGAAAUCGGGGAAGCGGACACCACCCUGGCCAAAGCCGGGUUUUUAUCUCGCGGAUACACGGCAGCGGCGGGUACAUC
Molecule: non-coding RNA, 198 nt
Filed under: Clostridia bacterium
Lineage: Bacteria; Bacillati; Bacillota; Clostridia
Description: 6S RNA
Rfam family: 6S / SsrS RNA
About the family: E. coli 6S RNA was the first non coding RNA to be sequenced, but its function was unknown until recently. It consists of 184 nucleotides that fold into an extended hairpin structure with a large single-stranded internal bulge. The 6S RNA specifically associates with RNA polymerase holoenzyme containing the sigma70 specificity factor.
Source: RNAcentral